ACCACUCUGGGGUCACUUUGUGUCCCUUUGGGGGUCACUCCGUGGUCACUUUGGAGUCACUUUGGCCUCCUUGCCAUCACCCCAGUGGUCACUCCUUCGAUGUCCAGCAGGGUCCAGAUGUCCAGUGGUCACUCCCCACCACUCUGGGGUCACUCUCCCCCACUUUGGGUCACUCUCCCCCAUUUUGGGGUCACUUUGUCCCACUUUUGGGGUCACUUUGUCCCACUUUGGGGUCACUUUGUGGUCACUCUGUGGUCACUUCACCCUUCUUACCACCACCCCAGUGGUCACUCUCCCCCAUUUUGGGGUCACUUUGUCCCACUUUGGGGUCACUUUGUCCCACUUUGGGGUCACUUUGUCCCACUUUGUGCCACUUUUGGGGUCACUUUGUGCCACUCUGGCGGUCACUCUGUGGUCUCUCUGUGGUCACUUCACCCUUCUUACCACCACCCCAGUGGUCACUUUGUCCCACUUUGGGGUCACUUUGUCCCACUUUGUGCCACUUUGGGGUCACUUUGUGCCACUUUGGGGUCACUUUGUGCCACUCUGGCGGUCACUCUGGUGGUCACUCUGUGGUCUCUCUGUGGUCUCUCUGUGGUCACUUCGCCCUUCUUACCACCACCCCAGUGGUCACUCCUUCGAUGUCCAGCAGGGAUUCAGUGUCCAGUGGUCACUCUCCACCACUCUGGGGUCACUCCCCACCACUUUGGGGGUCACUUUGUGCCACUCUGGUGGUCACUCUGUGGUCACUUCACCCUUCUUACCAGCACCCCAGUGGUCACUCUCCCCCAUUUUGGGGUCAUUCUCCCCCAUUUUGGGGUCACUUUGUCCCACUUUGUGCCACAUUUGGGGUCACUUUGUGCCACUCUGGUGGUCACUCUGUGGUCUCUCUGUGGUCACUUCACCCUUCUUACCAGCACCCCAGUGGUCACUCUCCCCCAUUUUGGGGUCACUUUGUCCCACUUUGGGGUCACUUUGUGCCACNAGCUUUAAACAACUGUGUGUUUAAUAAAGGGCUUUAAACAACCCUGUCCCCA
Molecule: long non-coding RNA, 1037 nt
Filed under: Zonotrichia albicollis (white-throated sparrow)
Lineage: Eukaryota; Metazoa; Chordata; Aves; Passeriformes; Passerellidae
Description: lncRNA (ENSZALG00000002193.1)
Source: RNAcentral